Non-coding RNA from Bactrocera oleae (olive fruit fly), 2559 nucleotides. NCBI's taxonomy places the organism in Eukaryota, Metazoa, Arthropoda, Insecta, Diptera, Tephritidae. The record is from RefSeq and is a predicted model, not a curated record.
AAAUAUCGGUAAUGUGUAAGAUAUAUAAUUGAAAUUCAUAUAAUAAAAUAAGUAAAUGAAACUCUCGAUAAUAGUAAGAUCUUGUGUCAAAAAUAUGUUGAAUCGGAUCAAUACAUCCUUCAAUAUAAAGUUAUGCCAACACCUGAAGUAAUAUCCCGGGCUUUGAACCUUGCAAGUUGCGAGAGUGUAAAAUGUUCGGUUACUUUCUUACUUGUUAAGUAAUUUACUACCAACCGCACCUUUUAUUUUUAAACUUAUUUAUGGACUUCGAAAAGAUGUACGUUUAUACUUGUACAUAUAAUUUCAUGCUGAUGAUUUCAAUCUUAUCUGCGCCUUUGACCAGCAUACCCUGUGAGAAAAAAGAUAGAGAGUAUCAGAUACAAAUAAAUAAACGAAAUUUAUCUGUUAUCCAUACCCUUCAUCGCUUCGUUGCCUUGAUGUGGGCUACAAAGCAGCAUAUGUAGUUUAAGUUGCUGCAGCAGCACAUUUCCCUCAGUGAAAAUUAUGUUACUCCUAUUGCGUACAUCCGACUAUCUAUGAUACAAAUAUAAAAUUAAAAUCAAUAUUUAUAAGGUAAUAUAAGAAAAAUAAUAACUACAUUAACUAAAAACUAUUUAUUGCAUUAAUACUUUUGGAGUUGUACUUGGACGCUAUAAGUGGUCGUGAAGGUCUUAUCAAUACUGCUGUAAAAAGUUCUGAAACUGUUAUAUUCAACGUUAUGAUCAACUACGACGUUAUAGUGCGUAAUUCGUAAUUCGUAAUGGGCAACGAUCAUCUGUUAAAACAAGAAAACACUGUCGGCCGAGGCUUUCGAAUGGUUAUCAGCGAGAUUGAAUUGUUACCAAAAAUGCUAGAUUCAUCAAUCAAAUAGUGAAGUGAUCAUGAAUACAAGUAUGUAAAUUAUUACAUUUUUAUUGAUAUUGUACGUAUAUCGUUUUUGUCAUAUGUUGCCAUUAUAAUAUUGCUUGUAUUGCGUAAUAUAAAUGACUAUAGUACAUAUUCUAAUAUAAUAAUAAUAAGUUGUUCUUACAAAUUUAAAUUUGUUAUUAUCCAUUAUUCUUAAUAAAUAAUGUUUCGAACGAAAAAUACAAUAGAUAGUUUUUGCUUUGUGUAGUUAUUCUUGUCCUUGUAUUAUAUUCAUUAUAUUAAUGUGAUACUUUUAUUACAUCGCCUCAAAGUUUUUCGUCUCUGUGUUGCAUGUUGCGUGACGUCACUUUUCAGUAAUAACAUGUGCGCGCACUGCUCUUUAAAUAUGUACAUACAUAUGUGCGUAUGACAUUGCCCAACAAAUAAUGUACACAUAAACAUACAUACACAUGAAAAUAUGUAACCCUAAUAAAUUACGAAGGUGCGUAUGACAUUGCCGAAUAAAUAAUACAUACAUUAACCUACAUACACAUAUGCGUACACAUGUAAAUAUGUAAGCUGAAAAAACUACAAACAUUAUUCUUCAAAAACAACAAUCGUCUCAAGUAGCUUAAGCAGCACACAGAGAUGUCAAUAUGGCAGCCAAAUUGCUGAAGCCCGGAUAUAUAGUAAAUCACACAAAAACAACAUUUCAUUCAUGAACGCAGGCGUACUCUUAACAAGCGAAGUUGAUUCAUUCAUAAAAGUAAACGCAACACAUCAACAGGCGUUUGCCUACAAGCGUCUUUUCGCGACGAUGGCAAAAGCUACAAAUCAUAAAUUCAACAAAUUUCUGAUGAUCUUUCUGGAAGGGAAAAGUGUCAACCCCGCAAACCCGCAAACACAGUGACAAAAAUGGCAACAUAGUUCUGUCGACUUAAAACUUUAAAAUAUUUUUUUACAAUUCUAAAUAUUUAUUUUUCAAUGACUGCGUCGAUAUAUAUGCAUGCUCAUACAUACGUACUAAAUACUAACAUAUUUACGAUGGUUUAUUGGCAAAGCUGUUAGAGUGGCAAGGGAAGCCGGGACAAUCGGCGAUGCUUCGUUUGUGUUUUUCGACAGAACUCGGUUUUUCUACCAACAACACAAUGUUGUGACGCUUUGUCGUCGCUGUUCGACACCUUGAUUCUUUGACAUGAAAGCAAAAAACGUGAGCUUUGGCCAAUGGUUGUCCAUGUCAAGGGAGAUUUCGCAUGAAGCAAUUAGUGUGCAUAUUUACAUACAUAUGAUAUACAAACAUAUGCGAAAAAAAAUAUUAUUUACAGAUUAACUAUAAAUUAUAUAUAUAGUUACCAUUGGUGACAUUUAUAAGCUGUGAAACUCAUGAUGGAGAUGGAAUUGAUAAUAGAAUGAUUUAAAAUAAUUGAAAAAUGGAUCAAAAUGACUCAACAAUUAUAAAACAUUGUUUUCAGUUUUUAAAUUGUAACUUUUUAAUAUAUAUAUAUAUAUCAUCUAAAUAAUUGUUAAGUAUCAUGUAUGUCGUACUCUAAGACACAGAGUUCAAUAAAAAUAUUAGUUGGAGGCCAAGUUUACUUUUAUCAUUUCUAACUAUAAUUCCUGUUUUCCAAGUAUAAAAUUAAUAUUGAUGAAGCGAUUUAAAUGUCUAUAAUAUGAAAAAAUAAAGUUUAGCACUUUCCGAGGUUUCACAAAACC